UAUGGCUUUUUAUUCCUACGUGAUGGUAGAUGGGUUCAUGUAGGAGUAGAAGCCACUAAA
Astatotilapia calliptera (eastern happy) is the source of this 60-nucleotide microRNA precursor. NCBI's taxonomy places the organism in Eukaryota, Metazoa, Chordata, Actinopteri, Cichliformes, Cichlidae. The record is from Ensembl.